GAUAAUGAAGUAAAAUUUACAUUUAGUUUCGGCCUAAAAUUAGGGAUUAACCCCUUUAUCU
This 61-nucleotide transfer RNA is filed under the name Pentatoma metallifera. RNAcentral's name for it is "tRNA-Arg". Lineage: Eukaryota; Metazoa; Arthropoda; Insecta; Hemiptera; Pentatomidae. The record is from RNAcentral.